AGUGAACGCUGGCGGUAGGCCUAACACAUGCAAGUCGAACGGCAGCACAGUAAGAGCUUGCUCUUACGGGUGGCGAGUGGCGGACGGGUGAGGAAUACAUCGGAAUCUACUUUUUCGUGGGGGAUAACGUAGGGAAACUUACGCUAAUACCGCAUACGACCUACGGGUGAAAGCAGGGGAUCUUCGGACCUUGCGGGAUGGAAUGGGCCGAUGUCGGAUUAGCUAGUUGGCGGGGUAGUGGCCAACCAAGGCGACGAUGGGUAGCUGGUCUGAGAGGGUGACCGGCCACAGUGGGACUGAGAUACGGCCCAGACUCCGACGGGAGGCAGCAGUGGGGAAUAUUGCACAAUGGGCGGAAGCCUGAUGCAGCAACGCCGCGUGCGGGAUGACGGCCUUCGGGUUGUAAAACGCUUUCGCCUGUGACGAAGCGUGAGUGAAGGUAAUGGGUAAAGAAGCACCGGCUAACUACGUG
This 472-nucleotide ribosomal RNA is filed under the name uncultured bacterium. RNAcentral describes it as "partial 16S ribosomal RNA". It matches the Rfam family "Bacterial small subunit ribosomal RNA", at positions 30 to 507 of the family's 1533-position model. The record is from RNAcentral.